Molecule: ribosomal RNA, 349 nt
Filed under: uncultured bacterium
Lineage: Bacteria
Description: partial 16S ribosomal RNA
Rfam family: Bacterial small subunit ribosomal RNA
Source: RNAcentral
CCUACGGGUGGCAGCAGUCGAGAAUCAUUCACAAUGGGGGAAACCCUGAAGGUGCGACGCCGCGUGGGGGACUGAUGGUCUUCGGAUUGUAAACCCCUGUCAUGUGGGAACAAAUUAAAAAGAUAGUACCACAAGAGGAAGAGACGGCUAACUCUGUGCCAGCAGCCGCGGGAAUACAGAGGUCUGAAGGGUUGUUCGGAAUCACUGGGCUUAACUCGUUCGUAGGCUGUUCCGUAAGUCGUGUGGGAAAGGCGCGGGGUCAAACGGCGGACGGCAGAUGAUACUGCGAGACUAGAGUAAGGGAGAGGGAAGCGGAAUGCGCGGUGUAGCAGUGAAAUGCGUAGAUAUC